This 117-nucleotide non-coding RNA is filed under the name Paenibacillus antibioticophila. RNAcentral's name for it is "SAM riboswitch (S box leader)". It matches the Rfam family "SAM riboswitch aptamer (S box leader)". From Rfam's summary of the family: The SAM riboswitch is found upstream of a number of genes which code for proteins involved in methionine or cysteine biosynthesis in Gram-positive bacteria. The SAM riboswitch acts at the level of transcription termination control. The predicted structure consists of a complex stem-loop region followed by a single stem loop terminator region. Lineage: Bacteria; Bacillati; Bacillota; Bacilli; Caryophanales; Paenibacillaceae. The record is from RNAcentral.
UCUUAUCAAGAGCAGGUGGAGGGACUAGCCCGAUGAAACCCGGCAACCGGCGAUACGUCGCACGGUGCUAAUUCUUGCAGAACAUGAAGUGCAUACUUCGUGCUCUGAGAGAUGAGA